Molecule: ribosomal RNA, 440 nt
Filed under: uncultured bacterium
Lineage: Bacteria
Description: partial 16S ribosomal RNA
Rfam family: Bacterial small subunit ribosomal RNA
Source: RNAcentral
CCUACGGGUGGCAGCAGUGGGGGAUAUUGCACAAUGGGGGAAACCCUGAUGCAGCGACGCCGCGUGAGUGAAGAAGUGUUUCGGUAUGUAAAGCUCUAUCAGCAGGGAAGAAAAUGACGGUACCUGACCAAGAAGCCCCGGCUAACUACGUGCCAGCAGCCGCGGUAAUACGUAGGGGGCAAGCGUUAUCCGGAUUUACUGGGUGUAAAGGGGGCGUAGACGGCGGGGCAAGUCUGGAGUGAAAGGCAGGGGCUUAACCCCGGGACUGCUUUGGAAACUGCCAGGCUAGAGUACAGGAGAGGUAAGCGGAAUGCCUAGUGUAGCGGUGAAAUGCGUAGAUAUUAGGAGGAACACCAGUGGCGAAGGCGGCUUGCUGGACUGUAACUGACGUUGAGGCCCGAAAGCGUGGGGAGCAAACAGGAUUAGAUACCCCAGUAGUC